This 1255-nucleotide long non-coding RNA is filed under the name Macaca mulatta (Rhesus monkey). Its description in RNAcentral is "lncRNA (ENSMMUG00000063136.1)". Lineage: Eukaryota; Metazoa; Chordata; Mammalia; Primates; Cercopithecidae. The record is from RNAcentral.
CUGUGAGACAGAUCUCUACCUGUUUUUCAGAGACAGUGGGAGGAAGAGAGAAGGAACAAGGGAUUCCUCAGAGCUUCUGCUGUACCCCCAACUCCCCUAGAAGCUAUCCCUACUUUAGCUGAGCAUCCAUUGGAAUGGCCCAAGUGCUAGCCUGGUGAUGGGCCUGGCCGAGGAGGACGUGUGAUUUGGGGUCAUUAAGAACCUCUCAUAGAUCCUGGAAAUGCAGUGUGUUUUUAAGUGGAUUGCUUUACCAGUGAGCAUUAAAAGUGUUUGAGGAUGCUACACAUACCUGAUGAAUGAUCGUGCCCCUGCCGUGAAGAAGCAAGGCAGAAACUUCCACUCAACUGGGUCUGGUGCUCAGAGGCAGGCAGGACGGCCGUGCGCACCCAAAGCAGCCUCUUGGUGGGAAUCCCACCAGCACCUUAGUGUGUGUGUCACUCACUUGGUGUGUGUGUCACUCACUUUGAGGCCUCUAGGGUUCUCCAGAAAGAAACCUCUGAGGAUGGGAGACUGGCUGGAGCAGCCAAGUAUCAAGGAGACCCGCCAGGUGCAGAGAGUAAAGGAAGUUGUUAGUCAAGGUUCCAACAGAAAUUCGCCCUACAUGGUUAAAAUAAAGAGAUUUAUAAAAAUUGAGUUUAUUAAGACAAAAUCUGUACAAAAUGAAAUUCGUUCUUUUAAGGUGUCCCAUUCAAGGAGUUUUGCCAAAUAUUUCCAGUAGUGUGGCCACUAUCACAAACAAGAUCUAGAACAUUUACAUCACCCCCAAAAAAGCUCUAGUAGACACACCAAAGUUUUCUCCAAAAUGUUCACACCAUGCUACACUGCCUCUAGCAGUGCAGGGGAGUUUUGGUUGCUCCACGUUCUCACCAACACUUGGAAUGGCCACCAUGUUUAUUUUAGUCAUUCUAGUGAGUGUGCGACCAUCUUUCAUAGGUUUUCACUUGUAUUUUCCUGAUGGCCAACAAAGUUUAACUCUUUUGCAUGACACACAUGCAGGAAGAUAUUCUGAUGUGUUCUUUUGGGAGGUAUCUAUUCAAGUCUUCAGUUCCUUGUAUGUUGGGUUGUCUUUUCCUCAUUGAUGUGUAGGAGUUACAUAAAUAUUCUGAAUCUGAGUCUUUUGUCAGAUGUAUAUAUUGCCAAUAGAUAGUGCUGAUAUCCCACUCUGUGUGUUGCCUUUUGAAGAAUAUUCCUGAAGGCACCCCUUCAGGUGGGAUGUUAAGGGACCCAGGGACUAGUAUUAGCAGGGAGCCACUCC